RNAcentral lists this ribosomal RNA (240 nucleotides) under uncultured bacterium. RNAcentral's name for it is "partial 16S ribosomal RNA". It matches the Rfam family "Bacterial small subunit ribosomal RNA", at positions 1059 to 1300 of the family's 1533-position model. The record is from RNAcentral.
CUCGUGUCGUGAGAUGUUGGGUUAAGUCCCGCAACGAGCGCAACCCUUGAUCUUAGUUGCCAGCAUUCAGUUGGGCACUCUAAGGUGACUGCCGGUGACAAACCGGAGGAAGGUGGGGAUGACGUCAAAUCAUCAUGCCCCUUAUGACCUGGGCUACACACGUGCUACAAUGGAUGGUACAAAGGGCAGCGAAGCCGCGAGGUGGAGCCAAUCCCACAAAACCAUUCUCAGUUCGGAUUG